UGGUUCCGGCAUCGAUGAAGAACGCAGCGAAAUGCGAUAAGUAAUGUGAAUUGCAGAAUUCAGUGAAUCAUCGAGUCUUUGAACGCACAUUGCGCCCCCUGGCAUUCCGGGGGGCAUGCCUGUCCGAGCGUCAUUACUGCCCUCAAGCCCGGCUUGUGUGUUGGGCCUCCGUCCCCUGGGACGGGGCCCGAAAGGCAGUGGCGGCGUCGUCCGAUCCUCGAGCGUAUGGGGCUUUGUCACCCGCUCUUGCAGGACCGGCCGACGUCCAGUCGACCUCCAAUCUUUCUCCAGAUUGACCUCGGAUCAGGUAGGGAUACCCGCUGA
This 324-nucleotide unclassified non-coding RNA is filed under the name uncultured fungus. RNAcentral's name for it is "partial contains 5.8S ribosomal RNA and internal transcribed spacer 2". The stretch from base 1 to 133 matches the Rfam family "5.8S ribosomal RNA", at positions 22 to 154 of the family's 154-position model. The record is from RNAcentral. Lineage: Eukaryota; Fungi.